RNAcentral lists this ribosomal RNA (252 nucleotides) under uncultured soil bacterium. Its description in RNAcentral is "partial 16S ribosomal RNA". It matches the Rfam family "Bacterial small subunit ribosomal RNA", at positions 26 to 285 of the family's 1533-position model. The record is from RNAcentral.
AGGACGAACGCUGGCGGCGUGCUUAACACAUGCAAGUCGAGCGGAAAGGCCCUUCGGGGUACUCGAGCGGCGAACGGGUGAGUAACACGUGAGCAACCUGCCCCAUGCUUUGGGAUAACCCUCGGAAACGGGGGCUAAUACCGAAUAUUCACGACGGAUCGCAUGGUUUGUUGUGGUAAAGUUUUUCGGCGUGGGAUGGGCUCGCGGCCUAUCAGCUUGUUGGUGGGUAUGGCCUACGAGGCGACGACGGUA